This 72-nucleotide transfer RNA is filed under the name Ovis aries (sheep). It matches the Rfam family "tRNA". From Rfam's summary of the family: Transfer RNA (tRNA) molecules are approximately 80 nucleotides in length. Lineage: Eukaryota; Metazoa; Chordata; Mammalia; Artiodactyla; Bovidae. The record is from Rfam by way of RNAcentral.
UCCCUUGUAGCUCAGUCAGUAAAGAAUCUGCCUGCAGUGCAGGAGACCCGGGUUCGAUUCUUGGGUAGGGAA